AUUUGGUAUUGUGGUUCAAGCUUUGCAUUAAGUCAGAUGUCGCGAAAAUAAAAGCUAAUAUGAAACAAUGGAUUUCUCAGUCAUAAGUAAAAGCUAAUAACCUCCAAGGGUUAGAUGCUAUCAUCUUCACUUGGUAAUUAGAACUUAAAAUGAAAUACUCCUUAUAUGCCCGUCUAUGAAAAUAGAUUUGUAUUUUGUUGGGGCUUGUUAUCACAAUUAUAUUGGGGCAUGUUAUCAUAAUUAUAUUCUGCGACCGAUGUUCCUUAGAAGAAGCUAUACCAUCUCUCAAUUGUAGGGUAAAAUAGAUCAUCCAUUCCUUGUAUUGUGAAAAUUCAUAAUGUUCUUUGUCGUAUUUUUCCUUUUAUUUUGGCCUUGGUGCUUGUUCCUAAUGGAUUUCACUAAGGAAGCAAGUCUAGCAUCAUCAUCUCCAAAAAUAAGGAUUUGUAUUUUGUAAGACAUUGUUACAUAUGAAGGUAUAUCGUUGGGGCUUGUUAUCUUUGGUAAUUAUAUUCUAUGACCGAUGUUCCUUAGAGAAGCUAUUACCAUCUCUCAAUUGUAUGGU
Molecule: long non-coding RNA, 562 nt
Filed under: Nicotiana benthamiana
Lineage: Eukaryota; Viridiplantae; Streptophyta; Magnoliopsida; Solanales; Solanaceae
Description: long non-coding RNA (NBEN_LNC019922)
Source: RNAcentral